RNAcentral lists this long non-coding RNA (4398 nucleotides) under Salmo salar (Atlantic salmon). Its description in RNAcentral is "lncRNA (ENSSSAG00000100771.1)". Lineage: Eukaryota; Metazoa; Chordata; Actinopteri; Salmoniformes; Salmonidae. The record is from RNAcentral.
GUGUGUGUGUGUAUGCGUGUGUCAGUCAGAGAGAGGGUAUACAGUAUAAAGCUCUUAAGCCAUGUAAAAUAAUGUUACCAUACAGGAUAGGUAUAUCACCUCAAUACUUUAUUAAAUAAUAAACAUCAUCAUAAUGAAACAAGGAAACUAAAAAUUGCAUUCUAACACAUGACAAACAAGUUCCAUAGUUUUCAUGUUGAAGAUAUCCCUAACAACAGUACUAGAAAUACAUGUGGUGGCUUUACAAAAGUCACUCUGGGCUCACUUCAUUUUUAGUUUCUUCCAAUGCCAUUGUCAGUGCCCAUGGGCAGGUAACCAUGGAAACCUGGGGUAAGGGUGGCAUCGACCAUGAGAGACUGAAAGAUUACAGGUCUGUGAGAGACUGAAGGAUUACAGGUCUGUGAGAGACUGAAGGAUUACAGGUCUGUGAGAGACUGAAGGAUUACAGGUCUGUGAGAGACUGAAGGAUUACAGGUUUGUGAGAGACUGAAGGAUUACAGGUCUGUGAGAGACUGAAGGAUUACAGGUCUGUGAGAGACUGAAGGAUUACAGGUCUGUGAGAGACUGAAGGAUUACAGGUCUGUGAGAGACUGAAGGAUUACAGGUCUGUGAGAGACUGAAGGAUUACAGGUCUGUGAGAGACUGAAGGAUUACAGGUCUGUGAGAGACUGAGUCAAGUCUUUUUGUUUAGGUUUUGUUCUAAGGCUAUUUUCCUUUCAUAGAUUAUCAAACGGAAGUAUAAUGCAGCCUUGGAAAUAAUCUGAGACGUCGAUAAAAUGCAGUGCUGCUGGUUAACACGUACAGUCACUGAGGGUGAGGACCAGAGCUGCUUGUUCAGGACUGCCAGUGACUAUCCGAUCUCUACAAUGACUUCCUUUGUGCCCCAAUUCAUCACAUUGUUGCAUUGAUGAGGCUUUACCAUUGAUCCCGUUUUUUUAUUUUCUUAUUUAACUAGACAAGUCAGUUAAGAACAAAUUCUUAUUUACAACGACGGCCUGCCCCGGUCAAACCCAGACGACAAAGGGCCAAUUUUGAAAUGGCCCUAUUGGACUACCAAUCACAGCCGGUGUGAUUCAACCUGGAUUCAAACCAGGGACUGUAGUGACACCUCUUGCACUGAGAUGCAGUGCCUUAGACCACUGCGCCUCUCGGGAGCCCAUUGAUGAGGCUUCACCAUUGAUUCAUCAUUUAAUAUACACACGGCAGCCUUUACAACAUGGCCAUGCUUUUGUCUCUGUGAUGUCGCCGUGAGAAGAUUUACCCAGCCCCUGUUUCACAAGAUCCUCAGAGGAAGAUUUACCCAGCCCCUGUUUAACAAGAUCCUCAUCAAAGGAAGUGAGACAAGCACGAAUUUGAGACAAUUCCUUCCUAUAGAAGGCUAGGCAUGCAUCCCAAAUGGCACCCUAUUCCCCAUAGUGUCAUGGUCAAAAGUAGUGCACUAUAUAGGGAAUAGGGUUCCAUAGGGCUCUGGUCUAAAGUAGUGCACAAUAUAGGGAAUAGGGUUCCAUAGGGCUCUGGUCAAAAGUAGUGCACUAUAUAGGGAAUAGGGUUCUAUAGGGCUCUGGUCAAAAGUAGUGCACAAUAUAGGGAAUAGGGUUCCAUAGGGCUCUGGUCAAAAGUAGUGCACAAUAUAGGGAAUAGAGUGCCAUUUAGGAUACAUACCCAGCCUCUUAAACUCAUCAUCCUCCCUCCUGACCCAUCUAACUAUCACAAUGACACCAAUUAUAGCAGAACUUUUAUCACAUCUACCAUGUUGAGACGGUGUGGUGUCAAUAGCUGUGUCUGGGUUCUAGUCAGAGCACUGAGACAUAGCUGAGACAUUGCUGAGACAUAGCGGUGGUGGAAACAUGUGACAAACUAGGUCAUCAUUUCUCACAUGAUUUCAGACGCUUCAGGAUGUUAAAGACAAAGGUUCAUCAAAACAAAAUGAGAGUACCGGUACUGUAGAUUCUCUGUCAUUCAGUAAGAUAACAUCCACAAUGACAAUAAUACUUUAAAGUUGCAGUUAUAAUUAUAACAGUCCUCAUGACAUAAUUACAAACUAAUAGUGUUUGACAUGAGAUCUUCUACCGCGACUAGGGAUGAACUGAUUUAAGUUAAGGAAAUAAAAUGCAAUAGAAAACACAUCAACGUUGUGCUGAUCAAAACAAAAUGAAGCUUAGAUUUGAUCAGGUCAAAGCGUUGCCCGGCGAUAGCAGACACCCGCAUAGAGGAUGUUUUGGAGGUGUCGGAGGUGGAACUGCGUUGGAGCUGUCAAAUCGCUGAGCAGCUGCUCUUGCGAAGCCACAUCAGCCCCACUCACUUUAGAAUUUCAGAACGAGAAAAGUAUAGGCUAUAUAGAAAUAAUUACACAGAGUGGCGCAGCGGUCUAAGGCACCGCAUCUCAGUGCUAGAGGCGUCACUACAGACCCUGGUUCGAUUCCAGGCUGUAUCACAACUGGUUGUGAUUGGGAGUCCCAUAGGGUGGCGCACAAUUGGCCCAGCAUUGACCUGGUUUGGCCUAGUUAAAUAAAGGUAAAAUAAAUAAAAUAUAAAUAAUGAAGGUUUCUAUCAUCCUAAUGGAGGAGUAGAUUACAUCUAUCAUCUAUCAUCCUAAUGGAGGUGUAGAUUACAUCUAUCAUCUAUCAUCCUAAUGGAGGUGUAGAUUACAUCUAUCAUCUAUCAUCCUAACUGAGGUGUAGAUUACAUCUAUCAUCCUAAUAGAGGAGUAGAUUACAUCUAUCAUCUAUCAUCCUAAUGGAGGUGUAGAUUACAUCUAUCAUCUAUCAUCCUAAUUGAGGUGUAGAUUACAUCUAUCAUCUAUCAUCCUAACUGAGGUGUAGAUUACAUCUCACAUUUCUGUGUUCCAACAAGGCCACAUUUGUGUUAAUGCGACUCCGUGCAAACAAUGGCAAUGUCCUCUUUAGGUAUAAUGCCGGGAGCCAUUUGUGUAUUUGACAGCACUAACGCAGUUCCACCGUCAAAACACCCGCUAUGCAGAUGUUGGCUGAAGCUGAUCUGACUGAAUAGAGCACCUAGUCUAUCUAUCUGGCAUGCACACCACCACUGUAGCUAGACAUGACGUGUGGGUUUUUAAAAACGUUUUCCUGUCGUCGGUUCAUUUGGUCACACAGCAACAUAUUUACACCGUACACUUUUCUUCUUCCUUUAAAAGGGAUAGUUCAAACCAAUUUGUCAUUUUGUAACUUGAACUAUAACUUUAAGUCUGCACUUUAGACAGACUGUUAUAGGUGUGUCCAUACAUACUGUAGCAGCAAAAACACAACUCACAGAGCACUGGUGACAUAGACUUCCUUCACCUCAUAUCCCCCAAAACCAAAGCUCACGUUAGGCCAAACUAAGGUCUGCCCCAGCUCAAAUAUUCUGGAAGGUACAAUAGUCUUCACUUGAAUUCCAUUUCCCAUUCAUGUAAUUCAUAGAAUAGACGUAGGGUCCAAGUCUCCUGUUUUCUUCCUGGUUGAGGCUCCAUAUUAAGUCCAUUUGUAGUGAAGGAGUUCAACCGAGUUCCAGGGUACUAAUGAGGUGUUUGAUUGGACAGAUAGUCACAGUUUCUGUUGAGUAGUAUGAUAUGAUUGGUUGAAAACAGAGUGAAAGGUCCCGUUUAGGAAUAAGAUUGGAGGAACAGUGAAUUGAUCCCACUCAAGAUUUUGUUUGGGUCGGUGGAGGUAAAUUAGAUAAGGGGUGAUCUUCUGAAGGUGAGGGUGGACAGGGUUAUGAUCCAGCUCAAGGUUUUGUUUGGGUCGGUGGAGGUAAAUUAGAUAAGGGGUGAUCUUCUGAAGGUGAGGGUGGACAGGGUUAUGAUCCAGCUCAAGGUUUUGUUUGGGUCGGUGGAGGUAAAUUAGAUAAGGGGUGAUCUUCUGAAGGUGAGGGUGGACAGGGUUAUGAUCCAGCUCAAGGUUUUGUUUGGGUCGGUGGAGGUAAAUUAGAUAAGGGGUGAUCUUCUGAAGGUGAGGGUGGACAGGGUCAAGGUGGCAGUCACAUUAUAAUGACAUAAUAACAGAAUUAAACUGAAGCGUCUACAGGGCCUAUGUGUCUCACCUCUAUAACUCCAUAAACUACCGCCACUCAGUGAGCUUGUGGUUGUCAUGCACAACAGGGUAGUCCCAUAGCUGUAAACUGUACGGGACGGAUCGGGAUUUGACUCUAAGGUCAUACACGGUCAUGAAACAUCAUUUUACGAUUUCCCUGAAAGAUGCAAUAAUAUAACAUUAGAAGUACAGGAUUUAACUAGAAGUCUCCUGGUGGAAGAAAAACUCUUCCAAUACUAUGAUCCACAUGUAAUCCCUAUCACCCCUACAGACAGUAUACAACCUAAUCCCUAUCACCCCUACAGACAGUAUAGUAUACAACCUAAUCCCCAUCACCCCUACAGACAGUAUAGUAUACAACCUAAUCCCC